AUGUCAAUAAAAUACGAACUUAUAAACAACAAGUAAAUUGUUUAUAAUUACCUAUCAAUAAUAUUUAUAAUACCAAGAUUUUUAAUUUUUUUAAUAUAUAUUUGUUUUUAUUCUAAGAGUUUGAAUUCUCAACCAUCUAAUUCAAAAGUUAUGUAUUAUAUGAUAAUAGCGGGUACGAGAAGAAGAACUAGUCGUCGGAUAAAAGAGCCGAUUGCCGACUGCCGACUGCUGCCACACCGGGAGCCAUCUCCGACUGCCAAAAAAGGUAAAAAAUUUUCGACUCGUUCGGAAUUCGAUUUCGAGCACCCUUAUGACCAUAUCAGAGUAAAAACAAACGGCGGGUGAGUCGGAAACUGCGAGCAAAGCCUAGCGGAGCCCCCGCGGGUAAAACUCGCAACCGCUUCCGAUGAGCCUCUUCCCGGUUUUCGUUUCCUGCAAUUUUUCUAUCAUUAUGUUCAUCGUUCUAUUUUCUACAAAUUGACCGAAGAAAAAAUCUCAGUUGCGAAGGUGAGCCGGCAGAGCUGCCGCAUCGGAAAACUUCACCACUGCUAGAUUUUCGUUUUCUGAUUUUUUUUCGGCUAACCGAGAUCUUUUAACGUGUUUUCUCGCAGAAAUAUUUAUAAAGUCGACAGAAACCGGCCAAAACUAGCCGAAAAUGGCCAAGCUGAGGCAAACCGCCACCGCAUGCGGUGGUGCUGUCGCUAGAGUACGGCGGUCACCC
This 721-nucleotide long non-coding RNA is filed under the name Carica papaya (papaya). RNAcentral describes it as "long non-coding RNA (CPAP_LNC003499)". The record is from RNAcentral. Lineage: Eukaryota; Viridiplantae; Streptophyta; Magnoliopsida; Brassicales; Caricaceae.